GGUAGCCUAGUGGUUAGAGAAUCCGCCUCGGAUGCGGAAUGUGGGUUCGAACCCCGGCUUAGUCA
Potamilus streckersoni is the source of this 65-nucleotide non-coding RNA. The record is from the annotation of a GenBank genome assembly. NCBI's taxonomy places the organism in Eukaryota, Metazoa, Mollusca, Bivalvia, Unionida, Unionidae.